RNAcentral lists this ribosomal RNA (557 nucleotides) under uncultured bacterium. RNAcentral's name for it is "bacterial SSU rRNA". It matches the Rfam family "Bacterial small subunit ribosomal RNA", at positions 28 to 574 of the family's 1533-position model. The record is from RNAcentral.
AUUGAACGCUGGCGGCAGGCCUAACACAUGCAAGUCGAGCGGUAGCACAGGAGAGCUUGCUCUCUGGGUGACGAGCGGCGGACGGGUGAGUAAUGUCUGGGAAACUGCCUGAUGGAGGGGGAUAACUACUGGAAACGGUAGCUAAUACCGCAUAACGUCUUCGGACCAAAGUGGGGGACCUUCGGGCCUCACGCCAUCAGAUGUGCCCAGAUGGGAUUAGCUAGUAGGUGGGGUAAUGGCUCACCUAGGCGACGAUCCCUAGCUGGUCUGAGAGGAUGACCAGCCACACUGGAACUGAGACACGGUCCAGACUCCUACGGGAGGCAGCAGUGGGGAAUAUUGCACAAUGGGCGCAAGCCUGAUGCAGCCAUGCCGCGUGUGUGAAGAAGGCCUUCGGGUUGUAAAGCACUUUCAGCGAGGAGGAAGGGUUCAGUGUUAAUAGCACUGUUCAUUGACGUUACUCGCAGAAGAAGCACCGGCUAACUCCGUGCCAGCAGCCGCGGUAAUACGGAGGGUGCAAGCGUUAAUCGGAAUUACUGGGCGUAAAGCGCACGCAG